This 1958-nucleotide long non-coding RNA is filed under the name Olea europaea subsp. europaea. Lineage: Eukaryota; Viridiplantae; Streptophyta; Magnoliopsida; Lamiales; Oleaceae. The record is from RNAcentral.
GAACAAGUAGAGGAGGCGUUUAUUGUGAGAGAGGAGAGGAAAAUUUUCGUAAAUGCCAACAGGUACUCUUUUUUCAAUCCAAACACAUACAGAUUUUGGUUUUUUGGUGUGCAUGUUAUUUGUGGAUUGCUGAUGAAACUACAUCUUGAUGCGAAUUGAGGAAUUAAAGUAUAAAGAUAAAGUAAUUUUACCAAAUCCUUUUCUUUAGAUUCUGAUGUUAUAAUUUUGCAAUGUACUGUGAUUACUUGAAGCUUGGAAGAUGUCAAACUCUGAUUUUGAGAGCUUUCAAGUUUGUUUCAUUCCCAAAGAGAAGAAGGAGAUUUAAGAUAUUUUAUGUGAUGUCGGGUUUUCUUCAUUUUGGAUUAUGAUUACCUGAAAAAUGAAAUUCCAUGGUUACUUUUAUUCGUUUUGAAUCUGAUUUCAAUUAUUAAGACUUAGAUAUAUGCCCAAGAUUCUCUUCAUUUAUCUAUAGCUUUAUUUGAAGCUCUAUUGUUUAUUUACUUUUAUUAUAGAUAACUCACAUCUAAAUUAUCUUUGCGAGUAUAAAUGCUUUAAAGAAAACAAUGUUGAUACAGAUGGAUGGAUCGACGCAGAAGUGCUACUAUCUUCUUUCUUUGCUUGUCUCUUGGGGGUGAUGGUAGUCUUGCUUUUUUAGCCUCACGGCUACGUUAUUUUUUAUUUUAUUUUUCCUAUUUCUAGAUUCCCAUGUUCCUAUUUCUACGUUAUUUUUUUAUUUUUUAUUUUUUUAUGCGAAGGCUUCAACCGUUAAUUUAAUCUUUUGUUCAAGCGUAAUUCCUUUUCUAGAUCUAACGGUCCAUUUCCAGUAUAAAUUUUUCAUGGAUACGGGAAUAUGUAGAUGGGACGUAUAAGUAUAGGAUUUGGUGCCUGGAUUUCUCUUUUACUUGAAUUAGCUUAUCUUAUAUGGACUUAGUAAAUUACUGUAUAUGAAUGAACUUUGUUUGCCAUUAAUGUAAGUUGAAUCAUUAUCAGUGAAUAUGACGAUGGUUUUUUUUGUCUUAUGCUGGGUAAGAAAAUAUUUUUUUUAUAUCAAUCACUUCGAAUCAGUAAGUAUAUUUACGUAUGUCUAAUUUCGUUUUCGUUAAAUUAAUAUACAUUUUUAAUCGAUAAAUCAUAUUUUCACAUAAAUUAACAUAUAGAUAAAUUUUUUUAACAGAUUUAUAAUUUUUUUUUAAACGUGAACAAGAAAAAAAAUUCAUUUGUAUGUAUAAAUUCUUUCCGACCGGCUGUAAAAGCUAUCAGUCGACAGUUACCCAGUCGGUUGUCAAUUUUUUUUUUUAAUAAAUUUAUGUUAUCACUGUGGUUGAGCCCAAUUUUAACUUUUUGUUUCGUCGUGCAGAUAUGGUUGUAAUCCCAGUUUGUUAUUUUGGUGAUUUUAAAUUGGAUGAAAAUGAUCGAUGGAUAUAAAAAUGGACGAAUAAUGUACGUGGUGGUAUUCCGAUUUCCAUAGCAAGUAAUACAUCAUACGUGGAAAUGUACCAUAAUUUAGAAAGCAAGCUGAAUGUCGAUGUCUCUAAGCAUAAGAUGGAACUAAGAUUUCAAUUCAAGGAGCAUUCAUCCUUUUCGAUUCCACCUAUGAAGGUUACUUCUAAUUCUGAAGUGAAUUGUCUAUUUGAAUUGAAUAAAACGCACACGACUCCUCUUUGCGUGACUUUAGUGAAGAAGGAUGUGAUAAAAUUCGAUACGGGUAAGUUCUAAAUUAAAUCGACCCAAUUCAGUUGUUGAAACCAAAUCGAACUGUUGUCAAUUUUAUAUUCUGCAAGUAUAUGGAUCGUUAUUGGUAAUAAAGUGGACCUAAAAGUUCGGAUAUUAUUCUCACGAGUACUGCUAUUUAACAAUGACAAUUGGUUCAUUUAUUCUUAAUUUGAAUUUGAUUGAAAACGAAUAAAGUAGAUAUUUGUUUUUUCUUUUGUGAUUAUCUCUUUUAAUUAUACUAAAAC